UACGGAGGGUGCAAGCGUUGUUCGGAUUUACUGGGCGUAAAGCGCGCGCAGGUGGGUGAACAAGUCGGAAGUGAAAUCUUGAGGCUCAACCUCGAGGCUGCUCCCGAAACUGUUCGCCUAGGGACUGGUAGAGGCUGGUAGAAUUCCCGGUGUAGCGGUGGAAUGCGUAGAGAUCGGGAAGAAUACCUGUGGCGAAGGCGGCCAGCUGGGCCAGAUCCGACACUGAGGCGCGAAAGCGUGGGGAGCAAACAGG
This 253-nucleotide ribosomal RNA is filed under the name uncultured bacterium. Its description in RNAcentral is "partial 16S ribosomal RNA". It matches the Rfam family "Bacterial small subunit ribosomal RNA", at positions 524 to 776 of the family's 1533-position model. The record is from RNAcentral.